Lycium ferocissimum is the source of this 1739-nucleotide RNA transcript. It is a transcript of the gene named probable protein phosphatase 2C 26, with no coding region annotated. NCBI's taxonomy places the organism in Eukaryota, Viridiplantae, Streptophyta, Magnoliopsida, Solanales, Solanaceae. The transcript has 12 exons. The record is from RefSeq and is a predicted model, not a curated record.
AAAAAGGACCCGGAAACGUGGCCAAAUGACGUACCCACAUCCCCUUCGAAAUCCAAGCUGUGCGAUAAUUAACUGUAAUAAGGCUACGUUGCAAACUGUGUAGAGAUUGGAUUAAGCGGGAAAAUGGCUAUUUCCACUAUCAGGCCUUGUAUUUCUCUUUCUCAACACUUACUCUAUUCAACUAGUAAUUCAUUCAAUUCCCAAAAAAUUAGCUCAAUUUCUGUCAGAAAGAAACAAAGCUUUGUUCACUGUGCUUCACUGGAUUCUGCUCCUACCAGGCAAGAGGUGUCAUUAAGUGUUGGAACGUACCUAAUUCCACAUCCCAACAAGGUUGAUAAAGGUGGAGAAGAUGCAUUCUUUGUGAGCAGUAAUGAUGGGGAAGUGAUUGCUGUUGCUGAUGGUGUUUCCGGUUGGGCUGAAAAGAACGUGGAUCCUGCACUGUUCUCCAGAGAAUUGGUGUCUAAUGUUUCUUCUUUGGCGAGGAAUGCGGAGGUCAAUUAUGAUCCUCGGAUUCUCAUAAAGGGAGCCCAUGCUGCUACAUCAUCUAUCGGUUCAGCUACGGUAAUUGUUUCUACACUCGAGGACGGAAUUCUGAAGAUAGCCAGUGUUGGGGAUUGUGGACUACGGGUCAUUCGUAAAGGUCAGAUGAUUUUCUCCACAUUUCCACUAGAACACUAUUUUGACUGCCCAUACCAGUUGAGCUCAGAGGCUGUUACUCAAACGUACCUUGAUGCCAUAGUUAGCACAGUGGAUUUGCAAAUAGGAGAUACAAUCAUAAUGGGCUCAGAUGGCCUCUUUGAUAAUGUUUUCGAUCAAGAGAUCGUUUCAGUUGUGACCACAAAUGAUGAUGUCUCUAAUGCUGCAAAGGCAUUAGCUGACUUGGCGCGCAACCACUCUGUGGAUACCAAAUUCGACUCCCCCUAUUCACUGGAGGCUAGAGCAAGGAGUUUGAUGUUCCUUGGUGGAAGAAAGUUUUUGGAAUGAAGUUAACAGGAGGAAAGCUCGAUGAUAUUAUAUUCAUUGUUGGAAAGGUGAAAAGCUCGUGAGCAAGCUGGCCUGGAAACCACCGAUAAAUAGUCUCGCGAACAAGUCAUAUAUCUUUGGUGCCAAGACUUUGGAGGGUCCCCUCUCCUGAAUCCUUGGGCAAUUGGAUGGUCUUUUUACUAUGAGUCGAAGGAUGAGUUGAUAACAUACAAUGCUAUUGCACAGGAUGCCUACUACCUAUACCUAACACAUGUACCAGGUAACUCUGUCCCAAAAAUGGGACAGAUGGGAAUAAAUCACAGCGUUUUCGCCUCCUGUUCGAAUUUAAAAAUGAACCAAAAGACUUCUAGGGACAUGCCAAAUAUUUUUUGCAGUUGCUUCUACCAAAAGUGCAAAAAGGCUUAUCAGCCUCUAUAUUUUAUAGGUGUAGCAAUUUUGGCAAGGCAGUAAAAUCGAGUGGCUGCCAUUCAGUAGGGGUAUUAAAGAGAAAAUUGAAAAUAUUUGUUGUUCAAUAUAUCGGUCGUUCAAGAAGUUUGACUCGUUGCUCCUCCGACCCAAAGGUGAACAUAAAUGCAUCUGCAAUUACAUCCUGAGAAAUGGAAUUUAGACUACUGUAGGAUAAGACAAGUUCAUACUACCCCUUAUUUUUCAACCUUUGGUCUUGCACUAUGAACCUAGCAAUAGAAUAUAUUUGUGAGAGAAUCUGUAAUUAAUUCUAAGCAAUAAAAGAAGAGUACAUUUGCAGCAACAAACUA